CCUUCGAUAGCUCAGCUGGUAGAGCGGAGGACUGUAGGCUGCCUGUAGAGAGUGAUCCUUAGGUCGCUGGUUCAAUUCCGGCUCGAAGGA
Merops nubicus (carmine bee-eater) is the source of this 90-nucleotide non-coding RNA. NCBI's taxonomy places the organism in Eukaryota, Metazoa, Chordata, Aves, Coraciiformes, Meropidae. The record is from Rfam.